Molecule: ribosomal RNA, 492 nt
Filed under: uncultured bacterium
Lineage: Bacteria
Description: partial 16S ribosomal RNA
Rfam family: Bacterial small subunit ribosomal RNA
Source: RNAcentral
AGUUAACGCUGGCGGUAGGCCUAACACAUGCAAGUCGAACGGCAGCACAGUAAGAGCUUGCUCUUACGGGUGGCGAGUGGCGGGCGGGUGAGGAAUACAUCGGAAUCUACUUUUUCGUGGGGGAUAACGUAGGGAAACUUACGCUAAUACCGCAUACGACCUACGGGUGAAAGCAUUGGAUCUUCGGACCUUUCGCGUUUGAAUGAGCCGAUGUCGGAUUAGCUAGUUGGUGGGGUAAAGGCCCACCAAGGCGAAGAUCCGUAGCUUGUCUGUGAGGAGGAUACGCCACAUUGGAACUGAGCAACGGAAAAGACUACUAAGGAAGCCCGCAGUGGGCAAUAUUGGACACAGGGCGAAAGCUUGAGCGAGCAAUCUCGCGUGGGUCACAAAGGCCUUCGGAUUGUAAAGCCCUUUUGUUGGGAAAGAAAAGCAGAAGGUUAAAACACCGCUGUUCUGACGGUAAGAAAACAAUACGCCACGGAUAAAUUCGCG